This is a non-coding RNA of Hypomesus transpacificus, 478 nucleotides long. Lineage: Eukaryota; Metazoa; Chordata; Actinopteri; Osmeriformes; Osmeridae. The record is from the annotation of a RefSeq genome assembly.
GUCAGCCAGUCAUUCAGUUCACCUGGACCAACUAUGAAGUCUCUUCUCUGUUUCCUGCUGCUUAAAUACAUAGCGGGCAUGGACGUCCAGCAGCAUCCUCCCAGCCAGGUUCUGUCUCCUCUCUCCCCCGUGAAGGUCUCCUGCUCGGUCUCUGGCACCAGCGACCCCUACCUCUAUUGGUACUGCUGGACCAGGGCAGACGGUAUGAGGCUGGUCUUCACCUCGGUCACUGCUGGGUUUGUAGAGCCAGCCAGUAAGGACGGGUUUAGCGCCGUGCAGCCCGACAGCCAGACGAUGGUUCUGCAGUCGUCCGGUGUGGCCCAGACAGAGCCCAGCAUGUGGUUCUGUGCAGCCAGUACCCACAGCAUAGCAGAGCAGGCUGGGAGCCAUACAAAAACCCCAGUGUCAUUACAGUCAUGUACUGUACAGCUCUGUCUUCUGGACAGAACAUGAAAGCCCCACACCUUCCUCCCACAAA